RNAcentral lists this ribosomal RNA (253 nucleotides) under uncultured bacterium. Its description in RNAcentral is "partial 16S ribosomal RNA". It matches the Rfam family "Bacterial small subunit ribosomal RNA", at positions 524 to 776 of the family's 1533-position model. The record is from RNAcentral.
UACGAAGGGGGCUAGCGUUGCUCGGAAUUACUGGGCGUAAAGCGCACGUAGGCGGAUUGUUAAGUCGGGGGUGAAAUCCUGGAGCUCAACUCCAGAACUGCCUUCGAUACUGGCGAUCUCGAGUUCGGGAGAGGUGAGUGGAACUGCGAGUGUAGAGGUGAAAUUCGUAGAUAUUCGGAAGAACACCAGUGGCGAAGGCGGCUCACUGGCCCGGUACUGACGCUGAGGUGCGAAAGCGUGGGGAGCAAACAGG